CAUACGUGCAGUCGAACGGGUGGUAGCAAUACCACUAGUGGCGCACGGGUGCGUAACGCGUAACCAACCUGCCCUGAACUGGGGGAUAGCCCGCCGAAAGGCGGAUUAAUACCGCAUAUACCAGCAGCCUGGCAUCAGGCAAUUGGGAAAGAUUUAUUGGUUCAGGAUGGGGUUGCGUGACAUUAGCUAGUUGGCGGGGUAACGGCCCACCAAGGCGACGAUGUCUAGGGGACCUGAGAGGGUGAUCCCCCACACUGGCACUGAGAUACGGGCCAGACUCCUACGGGAGGCAGCAGUAGGGAAUAUUGGGCAAUGGGCGAGAGCCUGACCCAGCCAUGCCGCGUGCCGGAUGAAGGCCUUCUGGGUUGUAAACGGCUUUUCUCAGGGAAGAAAAAGGGUAUGCGUACUCAACUGACGGUACCUGAGGAAUAAGCACCGGCUAACUCCGUGCCAGCAGCCGCGGUAAUACGGAGGGUGCAAGCGUUGUCCGGAUUUAUUGGGUUUAAAGGGUGCGUAGGCGGCCCGUUAAGUCCGGGGUGAAAGCCCACAGCUCAACUGUGGAACUGCCCUGGAUACUGGCGGGCUUGAGUCCAGACGAGGUUGGCGGAAUGGAUGCUGUAGCGGUGAAAUGCAUAGAUAGCAUCCAGAACCCCGAUUGCGAAGGCAGCUGACUAGGCUGGUACUGACGCUGAGGCACGAAAGCGUGGGGAGCGAACAGGAUUAGAUACCCUGGU
This 734-nucleotide ribosomal RNA is filed under the name Hymenobacter sp. x4r6. Its description in RNAcentral is "bacterial SSU rRNA". It matches the Rfam family "Bacterial small subunit ribosomal RNA", at positions 50 to 791 of the family's 1533-position model. Lineage: Bacteria; Pseudomonadati; Bacteroidota; Cytophagia; Cytophagales; Hymenobacteraceae. The record is from RNAcentral.